AAAUAAUGUUUUUAAUAUUUUGGUUUUCAUGUUUGAGCUUAUAUAUAUAUAUAUAUAUAUAUAUAUAUCUCUAUUUUCAUAACAGUCUGAGUAAUUCUGAUUCCUGAACAGUACACUUUGAAGUGUCAGCUUUGUGAACAUAUGCUGAUUAUGUAUCUAGUAAGAAAGACUCAUGAGCAGCAACCUUUUAAUUUUGAGUAUGUCAUUUGUGUCUCCAUGCUGAAAAUGGGGGUGACCGGUAAGGAGUUAAAAAAUAGUAGGCAGUAUACACUGUGUACUGGGCAGUAAGCAGUAAGCAAGUAUGCCAUUUCGAACACAGCAACAGACUGCCCUUUUCACUCCCUGACAGAAAAGUUCAAUAAAUCAAAAUUAAUUACAUGAAUUAAUAAAUACAUUCUUGUGAAGUAUGAAGUAAAAAAGAUAGCUCAAUAAAUAAAUCAAAAUAAAUCAAAAUACAAUGAUAGUUCAAUAAAUCAAAAUUAAUUACAUGAAUUAAUAAAUACAUUCUUGUGAAGUAUGAAGUAAAAAAGAUUCAAUUGUAACUUUGCAUGUACAGCAAACAUAUUAACUGCAUUAUGUCCUAUUUGAAUCAGAUUAACAAGUUUCAUAUUUACCCUUUCUGUGUAUUUGUUCUUAGCAUCACAAUGGCCACUUGCAGUCCAUACAGCCGUCCAGAGCCAUUCACAUGUAAAUGUGUUGCCACACGUGUCACAAGAAAGGCGGUAGCCUAUGUAAAGUGUGGAGACAAAAUUGAAGCAGAGCAACCCAAAUUAACAGCAUUCAUUGUUAACAGAUGGCAUAAAUACUUACAUGUCAUCUAAGAAUGGUGAGACCCCGGAAUUCGAAGAAGGGGCCAGCUACGUGGUGAAAAACCACACCAUAUCUAGCAAGUAUGGAAAGCCAAGUAUAUUUGUAAAAUCAGCCACAAGCAAAUUUAAAACCUCCCCACUGAGUCUUACUGAAGAUCAGGAGAGAAGAGCCAAAGAGAUCCUUGUUCCACAUUCCCCUCUGGUCUCAGUGGACAAAGUGGACCCUUCUGAAGAAAGGUAUGUCAGUCUCCUGGGAGAGAUAGAGGAAGUAAGUACAUUUAACAGAGGCAUCUCAUGCGUAAUGCAGUGCAGUGACUUAGUUAAAAGAGUUCAUUCUCAUGAACAAAUGCAAAUUUAUUAAACCUUAAAAAAAACAUGUUGUAUGUUUACAAAUCGCUCAUCACUUUGUCGUAGAGCACUAUGCACCAGUCUCAAUCUGCUUAAAGCCAAACACACCUUAAAGGAAUAGUUCACCCAAACAGACAUCCCAACCUGCAAAAAGUCUUUUCAGGGAGGUAUCCCGAAGCUUGUCAACUCACCUCAACAUGCCUUUUGCAAUCAUUUAACCCGCCAUGGGCAAUGCUGAAGUCACUGUUACAAAUAGUGCAGCGAGCAAGACUGUCAUUAUGUUUGACACUUAUAAGACAGGGGUACAUGUCUGCCGUAAAAUGUGUCUUAUAAUUUUUUUUUUUUUUUUUUUUUUGUGGCACUCUCCUUCUGCCGUGGUGCUCCUGUUUCUAGAUAGACAUAACUGAUUAAUUUGGUUCGGGAGAAGAGAUAAAAGCCCGCCCACACUGACAAUUGAUUGGUUGAUUUGCCGAAACAGGCCAAUCAGGAUGCUCUCUGUCUUACAUGCGCUUCGCACACUAGCACACACACGCAAGGUCUCUUGCUCCCUCUCCUUAUAAUGAAUAAUGAGAAUAAUGCAGUUUUUUUUCUUUUAGUGGCAUUUAUCGGUUUUUGCAAAUAAACUCCACAUAAAUGCACA
Molecule: long non-coding RNA, 1797 nt
Organism: Cyprinus carpio (common carp)
Lineage: Eukaryota; Metazoa; Chordata; Actinopteri; Cypriniformes; Cyprinidae
Source: Ensembl